GUGAUCAAAUACUUGACAAGAUAUUUUAUGGGGGUUUCUCUUCUCUUCUGUUGCUGCCUACCAAGGCCUGCUUUUACAGACCAUGCAGUGGAUGCCACAAAGCACACACAAGUCCUAGACACGGGAAGAGAGCAAACUGAAAUGAUAGGAAAACAAUCUUAUCCUUCCCAAGGCAGCAACUGCUGCUGACAGUCUUCAGGACCUCAUGAAAAGGUGAUUUUCAGCACGGUGCCAUCCUUCUAACAGCAGGAUAAAGUGGACAGAAGUCAUUGGCAUCCGGGAUCUAGCCCUGCUCGAGGUCUGCCCUUCCAACACCUGCCCGUUUCCUUCAGAGCUCCCACAGUGCUGCUCUCGAUCCUUUGGCAGCAUCUCCAAAGUGUCUGUGCCAGGAGAGGAUGGGCAGGGAGCAGGUGGGCACCACUUCACUGUGCCACCCUCCCCAGGCGGGACACAGGGACCGGGAGGGCUGAGCCCUUCCAGGCAGGAUGCCCCGCUGGCUGCCAAGCUCCGCAGCAAGAAAAGGGGCCGGACAAAAACCUCCACAUGACUGAUUUCACGGCCGGGACCGAGGAGCUCGCUGCCCCCACGGGUUCCUGCGGGCCGGCAGCGCCCGGCUCCCGCUCGCCAUGGCCAGGAGCGCCCAGCCCAGGACAGGGGACACCAGAGCUCCCGAGAGCCCAGGAACAGAUGCCUUGGGUGAAAAGAGGGUGACAGCAAAGGUCCAGGAGAAAUGAAGACAGAGAAGAUGAAUAUGUUAUUCACUACGUCUCACAAUGUAACAGCUAAUGUCAUUUGAUGAAAAAAUCUGAUUUAAAAUAAAUUUAAAUAUAUUUAUUUAGUAAAUUUAUUU
RNAcentral lists this long non-coding RNA (850 nucleotides) under Parus major (Great Tit). RNAcentral describes it as "lncRNA (ENSPMJG00000000200.1)". The record is from RNAcentral. Lineage: Eukaryota; Metazoa; Chordata; Aves; Passeriformes; Paridae.